Pelobates cultripes (western spadefoot toad) is the source of this 292-nucleotide non-coding RNA. The record is from the annotation of a GenBank genome assembly. Lineage: Eukaryota; Metazoa; Chordata; Amphibia; Anura; Pelobatidae.
GGAUAUAUUAUAAACCACCUAAUGUAAAUAUUAAUGAGGAAGAACUGCUGUUAGAGCAAAUUGAGAAAGCUGCAAAUCGAGGUAACACGUUAAUUAUUGGAGAUUUUAAUUACCAGGACAUAAAUUGGGAUAGAGUGACUAGUACUUCCGCAAGGGGAAUCCGGUUUUUGAAUGUUUUAAAUGACACCUUUAUGUCACAACUGGUACAAACACCAACUAGAAAGGAUGCUUGUCUGGAUCUCGUUAUAACAAACGAUGUUGAUCUUUUAACCAACAUUCAAGUAGGGGAACA